RNAcentral lists this ribosomal RNA (508 nucleotides) under uncultured bacterium. Its description in RNAcentral is "partial 16S ribosomal RNA". It matches the Rfam family "Bacterial small subunit ribosomal RNA", at positions 30 to 523 of the family's 1533-position model. The record is from RNAcentral.
AUUGAACGCUGGCGGCAUGCCUAACACAUGCAAGUCGAACGGCAGCAUGAGUAGAGCUUGCUCUACUUGAUGGCGAGUGGCGGACGGGUGAGUAAUAUGUAGGAAUCUACCUAGAGGUGCGGGAUAACUUAGGGAAACUUAAGCUAAUACCACAUAAGCCCUACGGGGGAAAGCAGGGGAUCGUAAGACCUUGCGCCUUAUGAUGAGCCUACAUCGGAUUAGCUUGUUGGUGGGGUAAAGGCCUACCAAGGCGACGAUCCGUAGCUGGUCUGAGAGGAUGAUCAGCCACACUGGGACUGAGACACGGCCCAGACUCCUACGGGAGGCAGCAGUGGGGAAUAUUGGACAAUGGGCGCAAGCCUGAUCCAGCAAUGCCGCGUGUGUGAAGAAGGCCUUCGGGUUGUAAAGCACUUUUGGCAGGGAGGAAGGUGUGGAGUUUAAGAGACACUACAUUUGACUGUACCUGCAGAAUAAGCACCGGCUAACUCUGUGCCAGCCGCCGCCGUAA